RNAcentral lists this ribosomal RNA (495 nucleotides) under uncultured bacterium. RNAcentral's name for it is "partial 16S ribosomal RNA". It matches the Rfam family "Bacterial small subunit ribosomal RNA", at positions 28 to 507 of the family's 1533-position model. The record is from RNAcentral.
GACGAACGCUGGCGGCGUGCCUAAUACAUGCAAGUAGAACGCUGAAGGAGGAGCUUGCUCUUCUGGAUGAGUUGCGAACGGGUGAGUAACGCGUAGGUAACCUGCCUGGUAGCGGGGGAUAACUAUUGGAAACGAUAGCUAAUACCGCAUAACAGUAGAUGUUGCAUGACAUUUACUUAAAAGGUGCAAUUGCAUCACUACCAGAUGGACCUGCGUUGUAUUAGCUAGUUGGUGGGGUAAAGGCUCACCAAGGCGACGAUACAUAGCCGACCUGAGAGGGUGAUCGGCCACACUGGGACUGAGAAACGGCCCAGACUCCUACGGGAGGCAGCAGUAGGGAAUCUUCGGCAAUGGACGGAAGUCUGACCGAGCAACGCCGCGUGAGUGAAGAAGGGUUUCGGAUCGUAAAGCUCUGUUGUAAGAGAAGAACGAGUGUGAGAGUGGAAAGUUCACACUGUGACGGUAUCUUACCAGAAAGGGACGGCUAACUACGUG